This 82-nucleotide transfer RNA is filed under the name Echinostoma caproni. It matches the Rfam family "tRNA". From Rfam's summary of the family: Transfer RNA (tRNA) molecules are approximately 80 nucleotides in length. Their secondary structure includes four short double-helical elements and three loops (D, anti-codon, and T loops). The record is from Rfam by way of RNAcentral. Lineage: Eukaryota; Metazoa; Platyhelminthes; Trematoda; Plagiorchiida; Echinostomatidae.
AGCCUCGUAGAUCAGCUUAUAGAGCAUAUGCGUACAAAGCGUAGGCGGCGUCUAUGCGUGGGUUCGAAUCCCACCGAGGCUA